GAUGAACGCUGGCGGCGUGCCUAAUACAUGCAAGUCGAGCGAACAGACGAGGAGCUUGCUCCUCUGACGUUAGCGGCGGACGGGUGAGUAACACGUGGAUAACCUACCUAUAAGACUGGGAUAACUUCGGGAAACCGGAGCUAAUACCGGAUAAUAUAUUGAACCGCAUGGUUCAAUAGUGAAAGACGGUUUUGCUGUCACUUAUAGAUGGAUCCGCGCCGCAUUAGCUAGUUGGUAAGGUAACGGCUUACCAAGGAAACGAGGCGUAGCCGACCUGAGAGGGUGAGCGGCCACACUGGAACUGGUACACGGUCCAGACUCCUACGGGAGGCAGCAGUAGGGAAUCUUCCGCAAUGGGCGAAAGCCUGACGGAGCAACGCCGCGUGAGUGAUGAAGGUCUUCGGAUCGUAAAACUCUGUUAUUAGGGAAGAACAAAUGUGUAAGUAACUAUGCACGUCUUGACGGUACCUAAUCAGAAAGCCACGGCUAACUACGUG
Molecule: ribosomal RNA, 497 nt
Filed under: uncultured bacterium
Lineage: Bacteria
Description: partial 16S ribosomal RNA
Rfam family: Bacterial small subunit ribosomal RNA
Source: RNAcentral